GGAGGAAAGCAGGGGAUCGAAAGACCUUAUGCUUUUGGAGCGGCCGAUGUCUGAUUAGCUAGUUGGUAAGGUAAUGGCUUACCAAGGCAACGAUCAGUAGUUGGUCUGAGAGGACGACCAGCCACACUGGGACUGAGACACGGCCCAGACUCCUACGGGAGGCAGCAGUGGGGAAUUUUGGACAAUGGGCGCAAGCCUGAUCCAGCAAUGCCGCGUGAGUGAAGAAGGCCUUCGGGUUGUAAAGCUCUUUCAGUUGAGAAGAAAAGAUUGUGACUAAUAAUUGCAAUUCAUGACGGUAUCAACAGAAGAAGCACCGGCUAACUACGUGCCAGCAGCCGCGGUAAUACGUAGGGUGCGAGCGUUAAUCGGAAUUACUGGGCGUAAAGGGUGCGCAGGCGGUUC
Molecule: ribosomal RNA, 402 nt
Filed under: uncultured bacterium
Lineage: Bacteria
Description: bacterial SSU rRNA
Rfam family: Bacterial small subunit ribosomal RNA
Source: RNAcentral